Molecule: ribosomal RNA, 253 nt
Filed under: uncultured bacterium
Lineage: Bacteria
Description: partial 16S ribosomal RNA
Rfam family: Bacterial small subunit ribosomal RNA
Source: RNAcentral
UACAGAGGUCCCGAGCGUUGUUCGGAUUUACUGGGCGUAAAGGGUGCGUAGGCGGUUGGGUAAGUUUGAGGUGAAAGCUCCGGGCUCAACCCGGAAAAUGCCUUGAAAACUAUCCGGCUAGAGGGUUGGAGGGGAGACUGGAAUUCUCGGUGUAGCAGUGAAAUGCGUAGAUCUCGAGAGGAACACCAGUGGCGAAGGCGGGUCUCUGGACAACACCUGACGCUGAGGCACGAAAGCCAGGGGAGCAAACGGG